RNAcentral lists this ribosomal RNA (357 nucleotides) under uncultured bacterium. RNAcentral's name for it is "bacterial SSU rRNA". It matches the Rfam family "Bacterial small subunit ribosomal RNA", at positions 28 to 371 of the family's 1533-position model. The record is from RNAcentral.
GAUGAACGCUGGCGGCGUGCCUAACACAUGCAAGUCGAGCGAGAAGGUGCAGACGGAUUCUUCGGAUGAAGGAAGCACUAGAGAGCGGCGGACGGGUGAGUAACGCGUGGGUAACCUGCCCUAUGGAGGGGGAUAACGUUUUGAAAAGAACGCUAAUACCGCAUAAGCAAACGAGAUCGCAUGAUCUAGUUUGAAAAACUCCGGUGCCAUAGGAUGGACCCGCGUAAGAUUAGCUAGUUGGUAAGGUAAUGGCUUACCAAGGCGACGAUCUUUAGCCGACCUGAGAGGGUGAUCGGCCACAUUGGGACUGAGACAGGCCCAAAUCCUACGGGAGCAGCAGUGGGGGAUAUUGCACAA